Molecule: long non-coding RNA, 2276 nt
Organism: Ricinus communis (castor bean)
Lineage: Eukaryota; Viridiplantae; Streptophyta; Magnoliopsida; Malpighiales; Euphorbiaceae
Exons: 2
Source: RefSeq, a predicted model, not a curated record
UGAAAAAAAAUAUAUUUUUUAAAUUUAUACAGUAAAAAUAAUAUUUUUUAUCGAUUUUAAAAUAUUUUCUGAAAAGUUUUCUAAUAUAUAUUUACUGCCAAACAAAUUCAAAUUAUCACUAAAAUUGAUGAAGUUAACGGCGACUGUGCUAAUGGUAGUUUGGCGCAGUCCACGGUAAAAUGGUAAAGUUAAUGACAGCGGUGCUAAUGGUAUGGCGUAGUCCGCAGUGAGGUAAUUUGGCGCAGUGGACGGUGAAAAUGGAGUGAAGACAACAAUUGUUAAUUUUGGGUUUUAAAUAAAACAGAAAAAGAUUAAUGACUACAAUUAGGAAAAAAAAGAAUUACUAAGAUUCAUGGGCGAGCACACAACUGGUGAACUGGAACGACGCGCAAACCGGUGUCUUUGUCCUGGCUUGACUUCAGGUAAGAGCCCCUUGUCACUUUAAGCUAGCAUAUUUGUUUCCCAAUGCAGGAUCUGCCAGGUAAAUUCCAUCUUGACGAAAAUGAAUCUAAUUGCAUUUUGCCAUCAACGCCAACUUCUGAUAACAGUGUUUGGAUUAAGUAAUGCCAUUCUUAUUCCUCUUCCUCGGGAUAACCAAAGAUGGAAGACUGUUAAAUCUAAUGAAUCUACAACCAUAGAGUCUUACAAUUUGGUGGUCCGGUCAAUCAAAUUAGACUUGAGAGGUUGCUGAUCCUGGCUAUCUCCCACAUUCCCAGACACUGUUAGCUCGGGGCAAUAUGAAUAUUUUACCUGAUUUUGUUUUGGAACUCGCUUCCAAUUUACUAAAAGAAUAACCAUAAAUCUCUUAAAUUCUUUGACAAUCAUAUUACUAUAAAUAUAACAGUUAAUAAAUAACACAUAUUAUUAUUAUAUAAUUUAUAUUAUUUUAUUUGAUUAUGUGCUAAGAUGGAUCUAGUAAAUAUUUGUGUAUUUUUUAUUAAAAAAUUAUUAUUUAUAUGUCGAUAUAUAUUUAUAAAUAUUUUAUAUUUUAAUAUUAAAUAAUUGAUAGAUAAUUUUCUAUUUAAAAUUAAUAUGUUUAAUUAUUAAUCAAUUUGAUAUAUAGAUGAUUAGAAUGUGUUAAAAUAAUAGGUUUAAGGAAUUGUGCAUGGAGCUGGUAAGGCAACCGAAAUGUCCUGUUCUCAGAUUGGCGGACAUCCCAUUUUCUAAAGCCAUGGCCCUAAUGCUGAGAAUGAUGGGCUCAUUGCUUCACCCCUCCACUAAUUUGUUUGUUCGUUUGUUUCGAUCAUAACAAACAUCUAGUUUUAGAUCCUUUUGUCUUUGAUAACUCAUGAAACCUAAACUCAACCAAAUAUCAACUGUAUCAGAUUCUUGGCUUUCUCAUUCUUUUUUUUUUCUUUUUUGUUGAACAUUUGGCUUUCCCAUUCUGUUCAUGAAGAAAAGGAAAAAAAAAAAGAAAAAGAAAUCCAGAGUUUUAACAUGGUGCUAAUUAAGUUCCAUGCUUUGAGGAUGUUCGCUCAAAUAAAGAAACAAAGCAAAAACAAAAUGAAUUAGAGAAGUUGUAGCCAGAUUUUGUACGCAUUCACUUGCAAGCAGUUAGGCGAUGUUGAUGCACCCAUCAGUGCGUAGUUUUUGAUCUCCCUGUCUUACUCAGUUAAGAGCCAACCAUUAGUAUGGGAAUUAUGAUAGCAAUAUUGAAAGUAAAAAAGGAAAAGAAAACCAUUGGGUCCUUUGGAGACGGGUCGCGAUAGAAGAAGACGAGAACAUCAACACAUGAUCACAUGGCUUUGCACAUGAAGAGUCUCCCCCUUGAAAGAAAAUGACAAAAUGCAUCAGCUACCUCAACUGUUUAGGGCUCAAGACUAUAAAAAAAACUACUGUACAAUGUGAUCUAUAGGGCAGUAAUUCAAAGAGAAUCCAAUGAGCUGGAAUAACAUUUAUAUGGUAUGAGUUCGUUACAAUGGCAAUAGUACUGAGAUAUAUAUAUAUAUAUACAAAUGUCUUCAGUUGAUUAAUAAAAAAAGGUAUAUUUAUAAAAGAAGUAAUAUAAAAGAUGAAGGGCAUUUUGAGAUAGCCAAGGGCUAUAAAACGAGGAGCAUGUAUGGGUGUUUCCCAUGCACAAAUCCACUGCUAGCUCUCUUGACUCUUGAGAAGAAAAAGAAGUUUCUUGACUCGAGAGAAAAAAAGAAAAGAAAAGCAGAAGAGUGCUAUACUAGACAUGAAGAAGAGGCAGCAGGAGCAAUCCCAGCAGCAACAGCAAAAGGGAUGCAAGGAGCUCUAUAGCAAUCAGCAAUAUCAGAUGCAGAAGCAGAUACAAU